This 774-nucleotide unclassified non-coding RNA is filed under the name Hevea brasiliensis (rubber tree). The record is from RNAcentral. Lineage: Eukaryota; Viridiplantae; Streptophyta; Magnoliopsida; Malpighiales; Euphorbiaceae.
GAAAAUUUAGGCAAACAUUCAAGGAUCACGGACUUCAAUGAUGGAAAUAUCAUCUUAUUAGCUUCCUCUACUUCUAUUAUUCCUUCCAUCAUGUUACAAUAUUUCAGCUCUACCUCUUGAAGUUGCGAGAGGCACAAUGCCAUUGACCCAGUACAUAUAUACCUCAAGCUGCUACAAUUUUCAAUUUGGAGCAAUCUUAGGUUCUUGAAGUCCAAAAUUCCGUGAGGAUGUUUGUUCCAUAACUGUCUCAGCAUAGGUAGAUUCAUUAACUUCAAUUCACUUAAUCGAGGUAGCAGCCCAACAUGCCCAUUAUCAGAAGAUAGCCCUUCCAAGUCAAACACUACUUCCAGUGAAUCAAUGUGCUUUACAUUUAUCUCUCUUAACUUGUUCAAGAACUGUAACAAAUGGGCCGAUAUGGCAUUGGAAGUAAAUGUACGUGUGUCCACGGUUAGGCUUUCCACGUUGUGGAAGAGCUUUCCUUGGAUUUUGCCAUUCCAGAGCUCAGGAAACUCAGAUACUUGAAAACGUGCGCCAACCUGCAUUUUUGUUAACUGACAUACUAUGGUCUCAUUAAGGUUUCCUUCCCAAUGUUGUUUAUCUGCGUAUUUGUUCAGUCGUAUUCCCCGUAGCUUUGGUGUGAUUAAGAAUCCUCCAGAGAAUUUCGUCAUCCGAAAGCAUUCUGUAACAAUAACGACUUCUAAAGAUGGAAAAUUGAAGACGUGAUUCCCAGUGCAAAAGCUGGUGAGACUCCUUAAACCACUAAGUUCCAAAUAU